CCUUAUAACUUUACUCAUUAGGAAUUUUUUUAAGAAAGGAAAUACACCUCAUAGGAUUUAAGAAAACAUAGGUGGCAUAUAGCAUAUGAAACUAACAUUGCUAUAGAAUGGUAUUUGGUCAGAAUAUGCAUGAUUUUAUUAAAUUUGUGUGCAUCUUCAGAUGAUGCAAUAGAGAUCUUCAAGCAAGUCAGAAGAAAAACCACCUCUAGUCCAUAACGCAGCACCAUUCUGCACCAGAUCCUUGACGCUGAACCUCUGUUCCAAGCUGGGCAAGGGUUAAACGUUUCGUCCUGCUCUUGCAGCUGUCUGCGAGGCCUCAGCCGGUUGUGACUAUACAUUUGCUCCUCUUUGCCCAUCCCUCCCCAGCAGCCCUGCGCUUUACCCCAAGUAUGCAGGGGAGGGACUUCUUACUCAAAAAAAGACACAAAAUGGCUUCCACAAAAGGAACCACUAGGGACAGAAAAGCAUUUGUCAGCCUGAGAAAGAGACGACUGAGGUGGGCAAGACAGAAGCCCGUGAUUUGACACCCAAAGCACUGAGUAGGUAAAUAAGAACACAACCACUCACGGCCUCUUCCAAUAAAAGAAGUAGGGAAAAUUAAACUAAAUUAGUGUGUUUCAAAACAAAUAAAAGCAGCACUUCUUGAUACAAUAUGCUGUUAAGGUGUGGAAUCCUUUCCACAGGAUGUUGGGAAUACUAAAAGUUCACUGAGUCCACAAAGCAAUUAAACAGGAUCACAGAAGAAAUUCUAUCCAGCACUACUAAACGUGAAGACACUACCACUGACUCAGGAAGUCCCUCAGCUGCACAUCACUGGAUGCCGGGUAAAACAGGGCCACAUUACUAUAUGCUUGUGCUCGUCUUAUGCGACUCCUGAGGCAUUUGCUUUCAGCCGUCCUCCAGCAGGUUACGGGGCUAAACAGAGCUUUGGUCUGACUCAGUACAACCUUCUUCAGACAGACUCCUUGUUCCUUUGACCACCCUACUAAUGCAUUUCUGUUCCUCUUCCCAUCUGAAGUCCUCUCCCCUGAGACAGGCAAUUGUACAAAGCAUCCUGGAAGAAAUCUCAGCAAUGCCUUAUACAAGGUCAUUACUAUUUUCAUGUCCCUGCCGGACACACUUUCNNNNCGUAGCAUAGGACUGCAUUUGCUAUUUUGAUGGAUAUGUCAUUAUAGAUGUAUCCCUCCAAGAAAGCCACAGCAUAAACCAACCCAGCCUAUGACUUGAGAGUGAAAAGCACAACACAACUCCAAAGGCCAAUAAUACCAAAUGAGCCAACAAUUCCAACUGCAAUUUUUUAUUCUGCAGUUCUAUGCGCAUGUUCCCCAUAAGCCUGGGAGCCUCUGACCCAGUAGCUGCCAGAUAAUCACAGCCUCUCUUGGGAAUAUGCUGCCCUCGCAGCAGCAAAGCCAGAUUUGUACCACCCAGGAGAGACGGAUGUUAAGCCUCAAACAGGGGUAUACAAUGAAUGUGCCGCAGAGAAAGAGACCAGCAAAGACCAGAGCUGUGGAUUGACUGGAACAGGGAAGGAGAGAGGAAAAGCUAAGGAGGCUUAGCUUGCUCACCGACCACGGCAGCAGGAGAUAGGUGCCCGGCUGGCAACAAAG
This 1607-nucleotide long non-coding RNA is filed under the name Struthio camelus australis. RNAcentral describes it as "lncRNA (ENSSCUG00000007515.1)". The record is from RNAcentral. Lineage: Eukaryota; Metazoa; Chordata; Aves; Struthioniformes; Struthionidae.